AUCGAGAAACAGACGCUCGACUUUGGCCCUGGUGUUGCCCGAGCUCCUGCACAGGGUGAGUGGACCGGACCCUGACCAAGGGAGCCCGAGGCCUCUCACUGGGUAGGUUGCAGAGCCCAGUGCGGAGGACGCUCUAGAAUGUGCAGAAUGCAUGGAGCUCGUGGAGGAAGCCGCACCCACGGUGGCUCAGCUGUCCACCCCUGGAGAGUCAGUGGGGACCCUGCGGCCACAGGGUCCAAACCUGCCCUUGCAGAGGGGAACAUGGGGCUCAGCAUGUGAGGACCUAAGUCGGAGCCAUGUAUAGGUGCGAGUCAUGUCUCUGUCACCCGGGGGGCCUCUGUGUAACAGUGCUUCGUGGACUCUGUCUGAUGCUGCCGUCGGGGUACUUGCUUCCAUGCCACUGCCACUCUUGCGGCUGCCGUCACCAUGCCAAGAGCCACCUGGAACACAAAAGGUGUGCUUUGGCGACUCUGAACCAGCAUCCCAAAAUGGUCACCGGUCUGCCAGGGCUCUCAGACCCCCAGGCCAGCUCUCUGGUUCCCAAGGCACCCUGCUCUUCCCCCUGGGCAGCGAGGAGUGAAGAACAAGGACCAUGGGUCACCAGAGACGAUUACCUGACCACGCUGCACAGCGCGGAUCCAGGCCUGUCAGUCUGGGUGGCUGAAGAUCACCUUGCCCACCUCUGAGGGUGAAAGUGACCGUUUACCCAGCUCUCUGGGUUCUUUAAUCUGGAUUCCAGGACCCAGUCAGUCACAAGGUUUUCAGGGAAAUGUUUGGGCUAAAUCAUAGAAAAGAUCCUGGUGCCAGGGGCCUCCCAGGUAAGGGGCAGCCUGGGCUCACAGCCUCCGGGCAGCCUGGGCAGGGACCUCUCCAUCUUUCUGCCCUUCCCGGGGCUGGAAUUGAACACAGCAGUGACCUUUGACCCUUUGACUCUACUGUGGGGCCAACCUGCUGGGGACAGCAGAGCUGCUAGGUGGCACCUGGCUCCCCGUCCCUCAUGGCCCUGGGCGUCCUCUUCUGGGCUGCCCCUCACAGCCUGUGUGUGUCCUCUGGGGUCCUCUGCUGGACAGCCGGGCUGCGCUCUGCGGGUCUGCUCUCGUUCCCGGAGGCCAGCUUUCCUCUGGGAUGCUCCUGCACCACGGGAGGAGGAGCGCCCUGGACUGCUCCACUCUCUCCCUGACGGCACCGGGCGGGCGGGCUCCUGCUCUUCUGGGCUGCCCUCCUCCCAGCGCUCUCGAGUUUGCUGAGGCUCUUGCUCCUCAGGUGCUUUCUCUGCCUUUGAAAUCUGUGUUCACAGGCUCCGAAACUGACACCUUCAGGAAUUCUUUCCGACCUGAUGCUUCCAGUAGCAUCUGAGGAGGAAACGGCAGUUUCAGGGGAUUCUGAAGGAGGAGAGCCUCGCUGCCCGGCGUCAGCCUCCCUCCCAGGGGCCACGGCCACGAACUUGGCAGAAGACCCUCGAGGACCUGUUCAGGGCUGCGGGGAAGACGCGCCCCAGGCCACACGGGGAGGAUGUGGGACAAGGCCCUGUUGAAGGGAAGAAGGUCCCUUUCCCCGUCUGCACGUCUCAGGGAGCCGAGUGACCGCGGUCCUCGGCUGACUCAGAUGAAAUCACAGCCAAGCAGCCCCGGAGGAGAGCCUGCGGGGUGACCGGCCGUUCCUACACCUCUGGGUUUCCACCAGGUCGGCUGCAGGCUCCACCCACGCAGGGUGUGCUGUGACGGUCACCAACUUAGGGAUGCCCCACAGGAGGGGCACGUGACUUCCCAAGCCCCACCGAGAGUCUGUGAUACCGAGGACAUGACACCCCAGGACACCAGCGCCCCCCUGCCCUGGUCAGU
RNAcentral lists this long non-coding RNA (1841 nucleotides) under Ictidomys tridecemlineatus (thirteen-lined ground squirrel). Its description in RNAcentral is "lncRNA (ENSSTOG00000034797.1)". The record is from RNAcentral. Lineage: Eukaryota; Metazoa; Chordata; Mammalia; Rodentia; Sciuridae.